GUCUUCCUCGAGAGCCUCGGCUGGGACAAGGACGCCGACCGCAACACCUACCGCGCCCAGACCGUCGAGCCCCUCCCCUUCCGGGCCAUGAGCGGCUACCCCUGGUCCGAAGACGAGGAGUUCCCCUCCACCCCCGAGCUCGACGCCUACCGGGCCGACUGGCUGACGCGGGUGGUUGGCCGACCCUGACGAGACUGGCAUCCCCCUUGCUCUCCUGUCCAACGCCGGCCGGCACACGGUCGGAGCUACCCACAGGAGACGAUCCAU
RNAcentral lists this unclassified non-coding RNA (267 nucleotides) under uncultured fungus. Its description in RNAcentral is "sequence contains ITS1". The record is from RNAcentral. Lineage: Eukaryota; Fungi.